RNAcentral lists this unclassified non-coding RNA (624 nucleotides) under Saprolegnia sp. BMF7. Its description in RNAcentral is "sequence contains ITS1, 5.8S rRNA gene, ITS2". The stretch from base 137 to 291 matches the Rfam family "5.8S ribosomal RNA". The record is from RNAcentral. Lineage: Eukaryota; Oomycota; Saprolegniomycetes; Saprolegniales; Saprolegniaceae.
CUCAUUAAUGAGGCUUUGCGCUGCCCUUGUGGCAGCUAGCCGAAGGUUUCGCAAGAAGCCGAUGUCAAUUUGAAUCCUUUUUAAAAUACGACUGAUCAAAACUGCAGAUAGAAAUAUCUGCAUGCAAUUGAAAUACAACUUUCAACAGUGGAUGUCUAGGCUCGCACACCGAUGAAGAACGCUGCGAACUGCGAUACGUAAUGCGAAUUGCAGAAUUCAGUGAGUCAUCAAAAUUUUGAACGCAUAUUGCACUUCCGGGUUAGUCCUGGGAGUAUGUUUGUAUCAGUGUCCGUGAACACAAACUUGUUUCAUUUCUUGAUUGGGAUGGAGCAGACUGUGAAGGUCUUGUAAUUACAAGUCCUUUUAAACGACGGUACCUAUGCGUCCUAGUGAGAUGUAUUAUUUAAAGGUAUGCCUGCGCUCCUUUCGAAAGUCUUGUGUGGCGGCACACAGCACUCAAAGAGAGAGCAAAUCGCGGUAGUUUUGCUUGUACUUCGGUACGAGUGGACACAUAUUGCUUUUUGUGAUUUCUGCGAGUCUGUUGUCAAAGUACAAGGCACGUAAGGAGAGUUGGUAUGCUGGUGCAUUUCUUGGCGUAUGGAGGCAAAUUGGGAAUUCAAUCCA